RNAcentral lists this ribosomal RNA (248 nucleotides) under uncultured bacterium. Its description in RNAcentral is "partial 16S ribosomal RNA". It matches the Rfam family "Bacterial small subunit ribosomal RNA", at positions 1253 to 1500 of the family's 1533-position model. The record is from RNAcentral.
CCCUGUGAAGGCAAGCAGAUCCCAAAAAUAACGUCUCAGUUCGGAUUGUAGUCUGCAACUCGACUACAUGAAGCUGGAAUCGCUAGUAAUCGCGAAUCAGCAUGUCGCGGUGAAUACGUUCCCGGGUCUUGUACACACCGCCCGUCACACCAUGGGAGUCGGAAAUGCCCGAAGCCAGUGACCCAACCAUAAGGAGGGAGCUGUCGAAGGUGGAGCCGGUGACUGGGGUGAAGUCGUAACAAGGUAGC